RNAcentral lists this ribosomal RNA (466 nucleotides) under uncultured bacterium. Its description in RNAcentral is "bacterial SSU rRNA". It matches the Rfam family "Bacterial small subunit ribosomal RNA", at positions 917 to 1382 of the family's 1533-position model. The record is from RNAcentral.
GGGCCCGCACAAGCGGUGGAUCAUGUGGUUCAAUUCGAAGCAACGCGAAAAACCUUACCUGGGUUUGACAUCCUCUGACAUCCGUAGAAAUACGGCUUUUGUAGCAAUACAACAGAGUGACAGGUGCUGCAUGGCUGUCGUCAGCUCGUGUGGUGACAUGUUGGGUUAAGUCCCGCAACGAGCGCAACCCCUGUUCUUAGUUGCCAGCAUUUAGUUGGGCACUCUAAGGAGACUGCCGUGGUUAACACGGAGGAAGGUGGGGAUGACGUCAAGUCCUCAUGGCCUUUAUAUCCAGGGCAACACACGUGAUACAAUGGACGGUACAGAGGGACGCCAAGGGGUGACCCGGAGCAAAUCUCAAAAAGCCGUUCUCAGUUCGGAUUGGAGUCUGCAAUUCGACUCCAUGAAGGUGGAAUCGCUAGUAAUCGCGGAUCAGCACGCCGCGGUGAAUACGUUCUCGGGCCUU